RNAcentral lists this long non-coding RNA (1590 nucleotides) under Homo sapiens (human). RNAcentral's name for it is "HSALNT0146558". Lineage: Eukaryota; Metazoa; Chordata; Mammalia; Primates; Hominidae. The record is from RNAcentral.
UAAGACGCUGAGAGCAUUGCACAACCUUAGUCAGAAGUAAUGGGCUUGGAAGCUCCUUGCUGUAGUCGUGGUGAUUUGGAAUGUCCUUUGACCCUCUACUGGAUUUAAUGCCAAUGGAGAGAAAAUGAAAGGAUACAAGGGGAAACACUUCUUAACUUACAAAUGCUUGACUGGAAUGACAUAUUUUAAAAUAUGACCAGACAACUUUGAGAAACUAAGGUAAACUUCAGAAAGGCAAGAAAGCGCACCUUGGAGAAACUGGUCUCAUACCUUGAGCACAUGGUUCACGUGACUGCUUUACAGGACAAACCGUGCAGAAAUACAAGGCAUGACAAUCAUAAGUCUUUCUUCAAGAAAUCCAAAGUAAUGACUUUACUGCUCCAUCCUGCAAUCAACAGAUACUCAGAAACAGCCCAAAGAUGAAUUACUUAGCUAAUUCUUUGGUAUUUUCUCGCAAUCCUCUUUUUCAUUGUACAUUUCAUUUUUUAACAGCCAUUGGUACUGAAACUUAUGUUUGCAAAAGCAAGAGAGUUGAUUAAUAGGUAUUUUAUACAUCUGGUAUUUUCUCAUAAAAGACUAGAAAACUUAUUUCAAUUAUCAUACCACCAACAAGGAUGCAAUCUGUUCACAAGGCCUGUUUACGAGUGGCUGCUUUGGGUAAUGGCUGUUUUCUUAGCAUGGGAAAUGAAAUAUAAUAUUAUUAAGCAGAGAUAUGCAAAAUGAAGUGUCAACUUAUCCAUCUUCCUGAUGUUUAUAGGCUUCAUUUUUUAGAAUGUUUAUUUUAUUUUAUGGGACCACACGUUAAAAUACCUCCUAUUUCAAAGGAUCUAAUUUCUUUUAUUCCGAUUUUAAUGUCCUUGAAUAUUAACAUUCUCAAACUUGUAAGCAAUCAGCUAAGGAAAUCUGUGGUAGGUACUUUAUUAAUUCCAUUUAGAUAAAUGUAUCAUAAUGGGAGAGACAAUAAAAAUGAACACUUUAUCUUUGCCUGAGAAAAAGAACUGGUCUUUGCCAGAAGGAUGGCAUAAAUGAUUUUCACUUUUAGAGGCCACCUGUGAUAAAAUGGGGGAAGGGGUGGCGGUUGGUAGAAAGCAAACCUCUAAUAAUAAUGAGUGUGUGCGUGUGUGCAUGUGCAUGCACGUGUGUGUGUGUGUGUGUGUGUGUGUGUUCAGGAGGGAGAGGGGUUGUGAAUCAAGGCACUGUAAUGGAAAUAAUAAAUCAAUUUUGAAGAGCUUGAGUAAGAUCAUUGGAAAAGUCUAGCUAUAUCUGUUUUUGGCUAAGUGUGGCUCCUUCGUUAUUUCACUAAAUUUCAUUAUCUCUGCAAGGAGUGGAAGUGAGAAAGAAUAAACUUUGUAAAAAGGUAAAUAUCACCACUUAUUUAAUUAUCAUUUCUAUUAUUUUCCCAGGAAGGCAUCCUACUAAUAAAUGGACCUACCUGCAGAUAAAGGAAAGGAAAUCAUAUACUAAAGGAGGAGGAUAACUUUAAACAGUAUAGAUUAUAGAACUCUACAAAGCCCUCUUGCAAAAUAUAUUAAAUUCCUUUAUAUGAGGAAAAGGAAUAUUAACACUGGCAAGAUAUAUACUGGGGUGUCC